AAAUCCSUCGACUUUAGAAAUCGUGAGGGUUCAAGUCCCUCUAUCGGCA
This 49-nucleotide transfer RNA is filed under the name Erica agglutinans. RNAcentral's name for it is "partial tRNA-Leu". The record is from RNAcentral. Lineage: Eukaryota; Viridiplantae; Streptophyta; Magnoliopsida; Ericales; Ericaceae.